CUGAAGAUAACUCAUUGUUGUUUUUCCCACCCUACAGAGAGCGUUCAAUGCCCUGUGCCAUAGUACCCAUCUGUACGGCAGGAGACUGGUGCUGGAAUGGGCUGAUUCAGAGGAAACAGUGGAGGCCCUGAGAAGGAAAACUGCAGAGCAUUUUCACGAUCCCCCAGUCAAGAAGCAGCGGACAGCCUUUUUAGAAGAAAUCUUGGAGAAUCUAGAGGAUGAUGAAGACAAUGAGGAGAAUAGCUAGGAUCCUCAGUUCAGAACUUCAAGGUUUGGGAAUUCAGCCUCUCCAGUCUAACUGUAGCUCCUACCAUGGAUUGAUGGACUUCCAGUUGCAGAUGUGCAUGUGUGAGAGAGGGAGAGAAUACAUUCAGCAUCACCAAUCAAAGAAGAACUCAAGCUCCCUCCUUGAGAAGCAGACAGUUGAGGAAUAUAAUGUGUGUCAGAGCAAAAAGAUCCUGUGACCCAGUCCUGUGGGGCAUGCUGGGCCCAGCUAUGUGUUGCAAACUGGCCCCUCCUGCAUUCCUCUCAUUGGCUUAAAGACACGGCUUUGUCAGCUCCAGUUCCCAUUCCCAGCUAGAUUGUUUUGCCUGGAGUUCCUUCUGACUCAAGUUUACUCCUCCUGGUCUUCCCUCCAAGCCUCAGAGCCCCCCUUGUUGAGCUGGGCCUUGCAUUUGCCCAGAGCAUAGCCCCUUCCCCUCACUAAAGUUUGGGGUGCAGUCCUGCUUGCUAAAAUGCCAAACAGUGGAGUGGCCAUAAGCCGAAGAAGAACCAAACUGCUUUGGUUAGUUCUUCUCAGGUAGACUACCUCUCCCUUGGCCGUCCAGGUUCCAUCUGGCCAUACAGGUGGCUCAGAGCUUCUCUAAUACACCUGGCUCCUUCUUGGCUCUGUAUGAGACAGGGCAAACUUGCCAGGCUAAUCCUCCCCAGGUUAAAUAACUGUCUACUUCCCACAGUGUUUCUGGAAUGAGCACCAGGUCCAGCGGUGCUUCAUUUGUCCCUCUGGAAGAGCAUACCUUUAGGGCGCCUUUGGAUCCAUCCAGUAAUCACCCUCAGCAUGAAUGGGGUAGAGGACAAAAGAGGGCAGGCAAGCAGCAGCUAAUCCCAGCUAAAGCUACUGUUCAACUCCAGCACAGAUGCCUGCAGGAAAAAGACUCCUAACUUCCAAGGAAGUCAGAGAUCGAGAGAAGAGCAAAAAAGCAGAGUGUUAGAAUUGCCUGAGCUCCAGAUUCACUUAAACCCUUCAGGAAUUCGGGAUAAAAUGAACCUGCCAGGGUCUUUCGAGGCAAGAUAGAAGAAAAUGCAGUCAAAUUCUGCAGCCCUCCCACCUUCAGAUAGUGAAUUGAGAAAGGGGGUUGAAGCAUCGAGAUCCACUACCACGUUUUAGUGGUGGGUUUACUUUAUUGCGAGUGGUGGGUUUUUGAAGCGAUGAUGACGCCAGGUGGUCCUUCUUUAGUGUCCCAGCUGAAAGCCAUCAAGAUGGAUCACUCAUUUGGGGCCGUAUUUUUUUUCCUUUGCAAGACCCCAGAAAUAUACUUCACCUCCCAUGUUUGGAAGGCAAGCAUGUUGAAACCUAUUAAGAAAUACAUUACUCCUUGAAUAAGAAUUUAAGAAAAAUCCUGUUGAUCAGGAUUUUUAUUUUAUUUUAUGAACACAGCACCGCAUCAUUACCUUUGGAGAAAUAUGAAACCCUGUCUGUGUGUUAGUCUGGGACAUCUUUCACCAUCUUGGUGUCCUCCUUCAUAAUUCCUUGCGAGCUAGGAUGGUGGGAAUGGAAAUCUAGCAUGCCUAUAGAACACCAGGUAGGAGAAGACUGGUCUGAGAAAUGUGAGAUUAAGUCAGCUAGUAUCAAAAAGGAGAAGGAGCAAAUCCCUCAUGCAUUUUUGUUUCCAACCCAGGUCAUAGUCUCUUAACCACCUGGUAAGACUGGGGUUAAGUUUAGGCUACAGUUAGGUUUAGUUUAGGCUUCAGGGACAGACCUCUUGAGCGUUCUUUUUUUUUUAGUGAGGUCUGUUGCUUAAUUAAGUCCAAAUAAGUAAGGAUGCCAACUUAUAUAAACUAAAGCUCUUGAAAACAGCUGUUAAAAAUGAGUAGAGCUGUUUUCAAUCACUUGACAUUGUGUUACUGACUGUUGUUGCCAAACUGGACCUAAUUAAGUUAGAUUCAUUAUAUUCUCAUUGUACUUUAAAAAUGUGAAGAUCACCCUUCAGAACAAUAUAGUUCAGCCUCUAAUCUGUUGUCCUUCAAAUACAUCGGGGGGGGGGGAUAGGAGAGGCAAAUCACAUAAUUUACAUCAUCUACACAAUGACAUUCUGAUAGGCAUGACAUCAUUGUGGGUUCUCCUGGAUGUCAUUGUUCAAAUAAUAUUGUAUCUAUAUUGUAUUUCCAAUGAUCAAUUUACAAACUAUAUUGUGCAGGUCAAAGAUGCAUUGCAUUGCUUCGGAUGAUAACUCAAAAUAAAAGAUAUAUGAGCUACAUAAAGUUCUGUAAAAUCAAUAUAAAAUAAAUAGUGCAAGAGAGGA
Non-coding RNA from Python bivittatus (Burmese python), 2522 nucleotides. NCBI's taxonomy places the organism in Eukaryota, Metazoa, Chordata, Lepidosauria, Squamata, Pythonidae. The record is from RefSeq and is a predicted model, not a curated record.